UAAAUCAGAGUUCAACAGACCCAAAUGCCA
RNAcentral lists this non-coding RNA (30 nucleotides) under Homo sapiens (human). The record is from RNAcentral. Lineage: Eukaryota; Metazoa; Chordata; Mammalia; Primates; Hominidae.